This 494-nucleotide ribosomal RNA is filed under the name Kluyvera ascorbata. RNAcentral describes it as "bacterial SSU rRNA". It matches the Rfam family "Bacterial small subunit ribosomal RNA", at positions 1051 to 1533 of the family's 1533-position model. Lineage: Bacteria; Pseudomonadati; Pseudomonadota; Gammaproteobacteria; Enterobacterales; Enterobacteriaceae. The record is from RNAcentral.
GUCGUCAGCUCGUGUUGUGAAAUGUUGGGUUAAGUCCCGCAACGAGCGCAACCCUUAUCCUUUGUUGCCAGCGGUUCGGCCGGGAACUCAAAGGAGACUGCCAGUGAUAAACUGGAGGAAGGUGGGGAUGACGUCAAGUCAUCAUGGCCCUUACGAGUAGGGCUACACACGUGCUACAAUGGCAUAUACAAAGAGAAGCGACCUCGCGAGAGCAAGCGGACCUCAUAAAGUAUGUCGUAGUCCGGAUUGGAGUCUGCAACUCGACUCCAUGAAGUCGGAAUCGCUAGUAAUCGUAGAUCAGAAUGCUACGGUGAAUACGUUCCCGGGCCUUGUACACACCGCCCGUCACACCAUGGGAGUGGGUUGCAAAAGAAGUAGGUAGCUUAACCUUCGGGAGGGCGCUUACCACUUUGUGAUUCAUGACUGGGGUGAAGUCGUAACAAGGUAACCGUAGGGGAACCUGCGGUUGGAUCACCUCCUUACCUUAAAGAAGC